CAUAACAGCACCAUAUCUGCAGGAGAGCAGGUCUGAUCACACUUCUGAGGACACCUUUGAAGAGGCAGAAACAAGGAAGGAGCUGGAUCCGUUAUGUCAGCAGACGCAAGAGGAGAGGAAAAAAGAUGGGGCAGAGCAAAGGGUGGAUCAAACAAAGGUACCAGAAGGCAGAAGGCAAAAACUGGCGAUGACGUGAGGGGAGCCGCGGUGGUAUCGAGCGGCGGACUCCAAUGCAGAAUGCGAACUGUGCUGGGAUGUGAUGGGCCCAGUGGAGGGACGAGACUGGGAUAGGAGGCUCCUCAUCUGCCUGGCACGAGGCUGGCGUGGACCCCGCUCCGCAAGAGGAAUUUCUGUCCAGCUCAAGAACACACAGGGGAUAUUCGUCCUGGGUUGUGGGACUGGGUGGGAUUUUUGUGCAUGAAGAGAAUUGUAUUUUUACCAGUUUUAGAACAAUUUCAUCUGGUCUCGGUGGGAAUUUUAGCAUAUUGAGAAUAUUUUAUUGUAUACUUUUUUCUUAGUAUCUGGUUUGUUUUAUUCCUGCUGUCCACCUCGUGGAAUAAACAGUUUCUGAUCAGACAAUCACUUCUGUGUUAUAAUGUUAACGGAAGUUUAUCAGGUCAGAUGGCCAAUGGAUGAUAAGAAAUAUACUCUUAGCAAUUAUUAGAGUUGAAAAGUAGUUUGCUAAGCAACAAGUACUAAAUCGGGUUAGGUUGAGGCUUAAUCCUUCACCUUAACUGGCUCAGAUGGUCUCUAAAUGGAUGAAUGAAACAAUACUUAACUUCCAAAAACAAUAUUUUAGUCAGGGCUAGCGGAAAGUUUCAUAAAUAUCAUUAAUAUGUAUCUUCUCUGUCUUCCUAUAGUUUCGUUUCAUUUUCUUACCCCACCCCCAACCGGUCGAGGCAGAUGGCCGCCCCCUGAGCCUGGUUCUGCCGAAAAUGGAGUUCUUCCUUCCCACUGUUGCCAAAUGCUUCGUCAUAGGGGAUCAUUUGAUUGUUGGGCCUUUCUCUGUAUUAUUGCACAACCUUUAUCUUACCAUGUAUUGCAAGUUUAUAUGUUGUGAAUUGUCUUAAUUUAAAUCAAAUUGAACUGCAUUCAAUUAAAACUAAAUAUAACUUGUAAUCAAAUGUGAAGUCUUCUCACUCAAUUUGGACAACUAGCACUGAAAAAUACAC
Molecule: long non-coding RNA, 1172 nt
Organism: Oreochromis aureus
Lineage: Eukaryota; Metazoa; Chordata; Actinopteri; Cichliformes; Cichlidae
Source: Ensembl